GAUGAACGCUAGCUACAGGCUUAACACAUGCAAGUCGAGGGGAAACGAUGAGAGAGCUUGCUCUCUUAGGCGUCGACCGGCGCACGGGUGAGUAACGCGUAUCCAACCUGCCCAUUACAGGGGAAUAACCUUGCGAAAGUAAGACUAAUGCCCCAUGGUAUUCUCAGCAGACAUCUAAUGAGGAUUAAAGAUUUAUCGGUAAUGGAUGGGGAUGCGUCUGAUUAGCUUGUUGGCGGGGUAACGGCCCACCAAGGCGACGAUCAGUAGGGGUUCUGAGAGGAAGGUCCCCCACAUUGGAACUGAGACACGGUCCAAACUCCUACGGGAGGCAGCAGUGAGGAAUAUUGGUCAAUGGACGAGAGUCUGAACCAGCCAAGUAGCGUGCAGGACGACGGCCCUAUGGGUUGUAAACUGCUUUUAUAGGGGAAUAAAGUGAUCCACGUGUGGAUUAUUGUAUGUACCCUAUGAAUAAGGACCGGCUAAUUCCGUGCCAGCAGCCGCGGUAAUACGGAAGGUUCGGGCGUUAUCCGGAUUUAUUGGGUUUAAAGGGAGCGUAGGCCGUAGAUUAAGCGUGUUGUGAAAUGUAGAUGCUCAACAUCUGACUUGCAGCGCGAACUGGUUUACUUGAGUGUGCGCAACGUAGGCGGAAUUCGUCGUGUAGCGGUGAAAUGCUUAGAUAUGACGAAGAACUCCGAUUGCGAAGGCAGCUUACGGGAGCACAACUGACGCUGAAGCUCGAAGGUGCGGGUAUCAAACAGG
This 759-nucleotide ribosomal RNA is filed under the name uncultured Prevotella sp. RNAcentral describes it as "bacterial SSU rRNA". It matches the Rfam family "Bacterial small subunit ribosomal RNA", at positions 28 to 776 of the family's 1533-position model. Lineage: Bacteria; Pseudomonadati; Bacteroidota; Bacteroidia; Bacteroidales; Prevotellaceae. The record is from RNAcentral.